AACGAACGCUGGCGGCAGGCUUAACACAUGCAAGUCGAGCGAGACCUUCGGGUCUAGCGGCGGACGGGUGAGUAACGCGUGGGAACGUGCCCUUCUCUACGGAAUAGCCCCGGGAAACUAGGAGUAAUACCGUAUACGCCCUUCGGGGGAAAGAUUUAUCGGAGAAGGAUCGGCCCGCGUUGGAUUAGGUAGUUGGUGGGGUAAUGGCCCACCAAGCCGACGAUCCAUAGCUGGUUUGAGAGGAUGAUCAGCCACACUGGGACUGAGACACGGCCCAGACUCCUGCGGGAGGCAGCAGUGGGGAAUCUUAGACAAUGGGGGCAACCCUGAUCUAGCCAUGCCGCGUGAGUGAUGAAGGCCUUAGGGUUGUAAAGCUCUUUCAGCUGGGAAGAUAAUGACGGUACCAGCAGAAGAAGCCCCGGCUAACUCCGUG
RNAcentral lists this ribosomal RNA (433 nucleotides) under uncultured bacterium. RNAcentral describes it as "partial 16S ribosomal RNA". It matches the Rfam family "Bacterial small subunit ribosomal RNA", at positions 29 to 507 of the family's 1533-position model. The record is from RNAcentral.